GGCAGAUUAGCUAGUUGGCGGGGUAAUGGCCCACCAAGGCAGUGAUCUGUAUCCGGCCUGAGAGGGCGCACGGACACACUGGAACUGAAACACGGUCCAGACUCCUACGGGAGGCAGCAGUGGGGAAUUUUGCGCAAUGGGGGAAACCCUGACGCAGCAACGCCGCGUGGAGGAUGAAGUCCUUUGGGACGUAAACUCCUUUCGACCGGGAAGAUUAUGACGGUACCGGAAGAAGAAGCCCCGGCUAACUUCGUGCCAGCAGCCGCGGUAAUACGAGGGGGGCAAGCGUUGUUCGGAAUUAUUGGGCGUAAAGGGUGCGUAGGCGGUUCGGUAAGUUUUAUGUGAAAUCUUCGGGCUCAACUCGAAGUCUGCAUGAGAAACUGCCGGGCUUGAGUGUGGGAGAGGUGAGUGGAAUUUCCGGUGUAGCGGUGAAAUGCGUAGAUAUCGGAAGGAACACCUGUGGCGAAAGCGGCUCACUGGACCACAACUGACGCUGAGGCACGAAAGCUAGGGGAGCA
This 518-nucleotide ribosomal RNA is filed under the name uncultured bacterium. RNAcentral's name for it is "bacterial SSU rRNA". It matches the Rfam family "Bacterial small subunit ribosomal RNA", at positions 235 to 770 of the family's 1533-position model. The record is from RNAcentral.